Molecule: ribosomal RNA, 257 nt
Filed under: uncultured prokaryote
Description: partial 16S ribosomal RNA
Rfam family: Bacterial small subunit ribosomal RNA
Source: RNAcentral
UACGUAGGUGGCGAGCGUUGUCCGGAUUUACUGGGCGUAAAGGGUGCGUAGGCGGGCUAUUAAGUCAGUGGUGAAAUCCUGCAGCUUAACUGCAGAACUGCCGUUGAUACUGAUAGUCUUGAGUUUGGUUAAGGUAGGCGGAAUGUGUAAUGUAGCGGUGAAAUGCUUAGAUAUUACACAGAACACCAAUUGCGUAGGCAGCUUACUGAGCCAACACAGACGCUGAGGCACGAAAGCGUGGAAAUCAAACAGGAUUA